AAUAAACACAGCCUGUCCACUUCUGACUGCAGUAGUGAUCUUCAUUUAGCUUUGCUUUUUGUUUUCUACUAUCACAGCAACAGAUGUCUCAAAUUACAAAGUUCUCUGUCUGUAUUAGGCUGUUGUCAUAUAACAGGACAAAUCUGCUGCCAGAGAUGCCUGCCUCUCUCUUUCUUCAUGAACUAUGAAGACAGUGAAUGAGCAGUUCUGAAACUAAGCUUCCUUUGAAAAUCUGCAGUAGGAACUGUAAAGUGUACUGUAAAUGCCACCCCUUUUCAGGUAGUGCUUCUGAUGAAAAAAAAAAAAAAAAAGUAUUUCUUGAAAGAAAGGAAGGAAAUGCUCCCUACAGCUCUAAGGAACCAGACCCCUGUGAUUCAUGAUGUUACUUCAGUAGUAGACCAUUUCACUUCAUUUCACUUCUCCAGCUUUUGAUAGGCUUCAAUGCAUUGUCUCCUGAUGUUCCUGAAAGUAUGAAGUAUUUUCUGCUAUUUCAAGGUGUUCUCUAGCCUGUCUGCUACAAUAUGAAGAAGGACUCAGUGGCAGCAUUGAAUAAUUAUUUACAGAAGAGGUAAAAAAAAAAUUUUAGUUAUACAAGAGUGUGCAUGUCACACUUGUAGAAAUCUGCACCAGAGGAGGUGACCCACUGUUGCUAUCAUCACUGCUAAAAUGCACCACCCACUGUUUACUGUGCUCACAUCCACUCUUUGAUCUCUAGAAAUGUUCAGCAAGCAUCAGUGAACAUCAAUGGGUGCCAUUUUUUCCGCAUGGAGGGAUUCAGUCACACACUUUUUCUUCAUACGCACUUCCACACCAUUUUAUCAGACUGCUUCUCUGCUGCCAUCUGUCACACAGCAACAAAAUGUAAUGAAAUGUUAAUGGGAAGGUUCAACCUCUACUGCCAUACCACCAUCAACCACUUCUAAUGUCAUGGACCAUUAUAAUAAGAUAGAAGACAUUACUUUUGGAGAAGCUCUCAUACUUUUGUCACAAUAUAAGCUCUUCAUUGCUACUGGCAAUAUCUACUACUACAAGACCUAAAAUAAGUUACAUCUUUCGAGCUGAAAAACUGAUAGCUUGGAUUGGCAGUUUGUGAAAGCGCAUUAUACAGAAGAAGGGAAGAGCUUCAUAUAUUUGCUGACAUUCAGUCUUUGCUCUUGUAUUUUCUAGACUGGCAAAUAAUUGUGGAACAGAGAUGCAUAAAGAAACCUUUCUAAAGGGAGCAGUGGGUCUGUUCUUAAGACUGAUGACAAUUCCUGGCUCUCCAUGGUAUUACUCCUGUCUAAAACACUAUUCUGUAUGUCAUUUCCUACUGCAUGUUUUUCUUUACCUCAAGUCUACUCUUCCCUAGUUUUCUCAUGUAAUAAAGCACUCUAAAAUACACUGUUUGUACUGUUUUGUUUUGUUCUCUUAGACUGUCAGAAGUGUUCUCCCUCCCAGACAUGUGUAUCCUUUACAGAUAAAAUUUUAAAGGUGGGAACAGUAGCUUGGAGGUCACCAUCAAGUCACCC
RNAcentral lists this long non-coding RNA (1508 nucleotides) under Gallus gallus (chicken). The record is from RNAcentral. Lineage: Eukaryota; Metazoa; Chordata; Aves; Galliformes; Phasianidae.